AACGUAGGUGGCAAGCGUUAUCCGGAUUUACUGGGCGUAAAGGGUGUGCAGGCGGGACGACAAGUGGUGUAUGAAAUUUCCCGGCUCAACCGGGGCAGGUUAUGCCAGACUGUCGUUCUGGAGUGCGAGAGAGGGGCAUGGAAUUCCGGGUGUAGUGGUGAAAUGCGUAGAGAUCCGGAGGAACCCCAGAGGCGAAGGCGGUGCCCUGGCUCGCAACUGACGCUCAGACACGACAGCAUGGGGAGCGAACGGG
RNAcentral lists this ribosomal RNA (253 nucleotides) under uncultured bacterium. RNAcentral's name for it is "partial 16S ribosomal RNA". It matches the Rfam family "Bacterial small subunit ribosomal RNA", at positions 524 to 776 of the family's 1533-position model. The record is from RNAcentral.